RNAcentral lists this ribosomal RNA (459 nucleotides) under uncultured bacterium. Its description in RNAcentral is "SSU rRNA". It matches the Rfam family "Bacterial small subunit ribosomal RNA", at positions 26 to 518 of the family's 1533-position model. The record is from RNAcentral.
AGAAUCAACGCUGGCGGCGUGCCUAACACAUGCAAGUCGAACGAGAAAGUGGAGCAAUCCAUGAGUAAAGUGGCGCACGGGUGAGUAACACGUGACUAACCUACCUUUUAGUGGGGGAUAACCUAGGGAAACCUGGGCUAAUACCGCAUAAUACCUACGGGUCAAAGCAGCAAUGCGCUGAAAGAGGGGGUCGCGGCCGAUUAGCUAGUUGGCGGGGUAAUGGCCCACCAAGGCAGUGAUCGGUAUCCGGCCUGAGAGGGCGCACGGACACACUGGAACUGAAACACGGUCCAGACUCCUACGGGAGGCAGCAGUGGGGAAUUUUGCGCAAUGGGGGAAACCCUGACGCAGCAACGCCGCGUGGAGGAUGAAGUCCCUUGGGACGUAAACUCCUUUCGAUCGGGACGAUAAUGACGGUACCGGAAGAAGAAGCCCGGCUAACUUCGCGCCAGCAGCCGC